UACGUAGGGGGCAAGCGUUGUCCGGAUUUAUUGGGCGUAAAGAGCGUGUAGGCGGCCAGACAGGUCCGUUGUGAAAACUAGAGGCUUAACCUCUAGACGUCGAUGGAAACCGUCUGGCUAGAGUCCGGAAAAGGAGAAUGGAAUUCCUGGUGUAGCGGUGAAAUGCGCAGAUAUCAGGAAGAACACCCGUGGCUAAGGCGGUUCUCUAGUACGGUACUGACGCUGAGACGCGAAAGCGUGGGGAGCGAACAGG
This 253-nucleotide ribosomal RNA is filed under the name uncultured bacterium. Its description in RNAcentral is "partial 16S ribosomal RNA". It matches the Rfam family "Bacterial small subunit ribosomal RNA", at positions 524 to 776 of the family's 1533-position model. The record is from RNAcentral.